Molecule: ribosomal RNA, 446 nt
Filed under: uncultured bacterium
Lineage: Bacteria
Description: partial 16S ribosomal RNA
Rfam family: Bacterial small subunit ribosomal RNA
Source: RNAcentral
CCUACGGGGGGCUGCAGUCGAGAAUCAUUCACAAUGGGGGAAACCCUGAUGGUGCGACGCCGCGUGGGGGAAUGAAGGUCUUCGGAUUGUAAACCCCUGUCAUGUGGGAGCAAAUUAAAAAGAUAGUACCACAAGAGGAAGAGACGGCUAACUCUGUGCCAGCAGCCGCGGUAAUACAGAGGUCUCAAGCGUUGUUCGGAAUCACUGGGCGUAAAGCGUGCGUAGGCUGUUUCGUAAGUCGUGUGUGAAAGGCGCGGGCUCAACCCGCGGACGGCACAUGAUACUGCGAGACUAGAGUAAGGGAGGGGGAACCGGAAGUCUCGGUGUAGCAGUGAAAUGCGUAGAUAUCGAGAGGAACACUCGUGGCGAAGGCGGGUUCCUGGACAUUAACUGACGCUGAGGCACGAAGGCCAGGGGAGCGAAAGGGAUUAGAUACCCCUGUAGUC